Molecule: long non-coding RNA, 1144 nt
Organism: Chroicocephalus ridibundus (black-headed gull)
Lineage: Eukaryota; Metazoa; Chordata; Aves; Charadriiformes; Laridae
Exons: 3
Source: RefSeq, a predicted model, not a curated record
GACAUGAUGCCUCUUGGCCCUUGUGCCUUUGCCAGCGCCGCUCAGACCCAGCCAGACGUCGCUCAGCUCUUGGUUGGCUGCAGGGAGCUAUACUUCAGUCCCCUCCAUUUUUUGUUUGUUUUACAAACUUGCUCCCCUCCCUUCCCCAAGACGCCAGAUUCAUAAUUUGACUUUCAUCUCUGGGCACCAAGGUCUGGCUGGCAGGGCUGAUCGAACAGCUCUUGGAUGAGACAGACCCACCUUGUGAGAACAUUAAUUUCCCUGUGAUAUGGAGGAGGAUCUAUCCAGCUGAUGUUCUGGUCUGCAACAGGCUCUGUCUGCCAGAUUGAAAAUAACCUUUCUUGGACUGCUUAUUUUUCUGUCCUUCUUUUCGUUCCUUGCUCCUGACACUUUCCUCCUUCAGUCCCUCUUGCACACCUGGUCACUUAAGAAGAGAGAGGAGGGAAAAAAGGCAAUCUUUGGUGAAUGGGCUGGUCCAGUGGCAUUUCUGUGUGCUGCACAGCGUCUGUGUUUAAAAUCCUAUUGCAGUCAGGGAGGAACUGGGAAGCAGAGGAUACAAAAGAAAAAUCCACGGCUUAAUCUUUCAGAAGAAGUUUCUCCCCAUUUUGAAAUCUAUCCAGCACACGUCGGAUAAGUCAAUAAGAUUCAUGUCCCGGAAAGAAUACAAAACCACCGGUCAUUUAUCAAAGGAAAAGAAACCACGGACUAUUUUCCUCUCCUCCAGUUAGUUCAAGCUUGAGGGAUUUCAGUGGCCUCUAAUGCCCUCUAAUGGAGAAAGCUGAUGGAGCAAAGUCCUGCUGGGGAGCGGGCAGAGGGAGCGAGCACGGAGCGCCUCGAUGGAGCGGGAGCUGCCAGGGAGCUCUGAAGCUUUCGCUGGGAGCCCGCCAGCUCUUGGAUUAAACCCCACGUUUAAGGCAUUUGUAGCUUAGAGGUAUUAAGUCACCUCUUACCAAAAACUUGGCAGAUCCUUUCCUUCCUCCCUUCCUUCCUCAUUUAAUAAGUUUGCUUGUUUAACUUCACUUAAGAAUGGUAGGAAAAUAUUUUUGACGCUGAUCCCAGAUUUGGCACGUUUCCUCCAGAAUGAUACCCUCUCUAUCAGGAGUUGAAACCAAACAUGCGCCUUACAGAGGAAUGUCUCCAAAGU